This 460-nucleotide ribosomal RNA is filed under the name uncultured bacterium. RNAcentral describes it as "partial 16S ribosomal RNA". It matches the Rfam family "Bacterial small subunit ribosomal RNA", at positions 338 to 795 of the family's 1533-position model. The record is from RNAcentral.
CCUACGGGAGGCAGCAGUGAGGAAUAUUGGUCAAUGGCCGGAAGGCUGAACCAGCCAUGCCGCGUGAAGGUCAGUGCCCUAUGGGCGUUAAACUUCUUUUGUGCGGGAGCAAUAAUGGUCACGUGUGGCCAGACGAGAGUACCGUACGAAUAAGCAUCGGCUAACUCCGUGCCAGCAGCCGCGGUAAUACGGGGGAUGCAAGCGUUAUCCGGAUUUUUUGGGUUUAAAGGGUGCGUAGGCUGGGAGGUAAGUCAGCGGUGGAAUGCCGCCGCUCAACGGGGUGAAGUGCCAUUGAUACUGGCUUGCUUGAAUGCGGAUGCCGUGGGAGGAAUGUGUGGUGUAGCGGUGAAAUGCAUAGAUAUCACACAGAACACCGAUUGCGAAGGCAUCUCACGAAUCCGCGAUUGACGCUGAUGCACGAAAGCGUGGGUAUCAAACAGGAUUAGAUACCCCGGUAGUC